Long non-coding RNA from Mirounga angustirostris (Northern elephant seal), 757 nucleotides. RefSeq lists it as uncharacterized. NCBI's taxonomy places the organism in Eukaryota, Metazoa, Chordata, Mammalia, Carnivora, Phocidae. The record is from RefSeq and is a predicted model, not a curated record. The transcript is spliced from 3 exons.
GGAUUAAGUAGGAGAGGAACUCAGAGGUUAACACUGAGGCAUUAUGUUGCUGAGAUGAUGAUUUUUGAUUACUCAGGUCCUCUGAUUACAGUUGCUUGAAGAACCAGAAAGGACUAAGUCAACAACACUGACUUUCAAAAAAGGCUAACUUCUUAGUGCUUGUGCAAGGACAAGACUCAAAGAAGCAAGAAGAAAGCAGUUGCUGAGAAGCUAAAGAAUUAAGCAGAGACUUCAGUGGUCAUGAGAUGUUGAAGAGACAAAGGUUCCAUGUUAACAAAUGGAUCAAGUCCUCUAGAUUCUCAGUUACCUCUCUGAAUACCUCUGGAGACAUCCUAUGCAGCUAUGCCAUAAUUUUGUUCUUCCUAUUGUGGAAUCAGAGGAGCCAAUGAAAAAUUGGAUGUUGGGCCAAAGACCCUCAGGCAAAUCUGGGUAAUUUUUUAUUCUUUAUUUAACCAAGAUGGAGUUAUAAAGUGGCAAAACUACUAUUUGCAUUUUGGGAGGAGAAUCUGGCAACUUUGUUCUCUGUGGUGGAAAAAAACAAAUACAUUAUCACCUACAACAGAGCGUACUUGGAAGAUAAGUCUCUCUGAUAACACAUAGCUUCUAUAGACAAUAUUAUGAAGGCUGUGGAGAAUUCAGGAACUGCAGCUGGAGUGGUAUCAUUGAUAAUUCUGAAUGGACUAAAGAAAAGCAUUGAUAAGCUCAAAUUCCUAUAUUUGUGCAGUACACACAGACUGAAAAUCAGGUUCUUUUAAUG